This 825-nucleotide long non-coding RNA is filed under the name Lepidothrix coronata (blue-crowned manakin). Its description in RNAcentral is "lncRNA (ENSLCOG00000005979.1)". Lineage: Eukaryota; Metazoa; Chordata; Aves; Passeriformes; Pipridae. The record is from RNAcentral.
AUGCACAGGAAAGAGAAGGCAGAUGACAGUAGCUAUCCUCCUUCAAUACUGAGGAAAAGGCAACCUGUGGAUCAAGCUGUGGGGGAAAAGCGGAAAGUAGAGAGAAGGGUUCGAUUUCGUGAGCCAGAAGUCAUUGAACAUGCCAUUUCCUGCUGUGACUACGUAGUGGUAGAUGACAGGUCAUCAUCUGGAUUGCCUAUGCUCCUGUGGCUCUCAUUUUGUGCAGUGCUGAUCCUUGCUGUGAGUCUCUACUACACCAGCAUGAAGCAAGAUGUCAAAGUCCUGGAGGAAUUUCAAUCCCGACUUGUUAUCUUCUUUCUUCAUAUAAGACACGUUGCUCAGAGAUGUUGGACUUGGUUUGUGAAGCAGUAGCAAUGUCCUUCAGCCUGACACUGUUAAGCAGCAUGAGUCAGUGCAAAACUCCCAGUUUACUCCAGCCACAUGCAAGGAAACACUGUCCACCUCAAAGAGCAAGAAAAUCACCCCUGUUGUGCAUCAUCCAGCAGCCACUUCUUUUUUCUUCUUUGUUUGUUUUUCCACACCAAUGAACAGUCAUUACCAGUGCCUUGAGUUCUCACCAAACUCAUGCUCCAUCACCCUGAACAGCAAACAAGUAUCUCAGUUUUGUCCCCCAUAGUUUAUGAACUGCUGAUAUGAGGAGCAAAAGUAGAGAGAGAAACAGAUUGAUCUGUGCAGGCAGCAGCAAGCUCUGAGGAAAAAUCUCCUGAGUCUCAGGUCAAGGCUUUAGAUAUCAAAUCACCUUUCUCCUUAAGUCUCCUAAGAGCUAUUCUGCAAAAGUUAAAAUAAAGCAGAACUAUUGCACCA